This 253-nucleotide ribosomal RNA is filed under the name uncultured bacterium. RNAcentral's name for it is "partial 16S ribosomal RNA". It matches the Rfam family "Bacterial small subunit ribosomal RNA", at positions 524 to 777 of the family's 1533-position model. The record is from RNAcentral.
GACGAAGGGGCUAGCGUUGUUCGGAAUUACUGGGCGUAAAGCGCGUGUAGGUGGUUGUCCAAGUUGGAUGUGAAAGCCUUGAGCUCAACUCAAGAAAUGCAUUCAGGACUGGGCGACUAGAGGACCGGAGAGGAUAGUGGAAUUCCCAGUGUAGUGGUGAAAUACGUAGAGAUUGGGAAGAACACCAGUGGCGAAGGCGGCUCACUGGACUGGUAUUGACGCUGAGGUGCGAAAGCGUGGGGAGCAAACAGGA